GUGGGUGUAGCUCAGUUGGUUAGAGCACAAGAUUGUGGUUCUUGGGGCCGUGGGUUCGAAUCCCAUCAUCCACCCCA
RNAcentral lists this transfer RNA (77 nucleotides) under Candidatus Omnitrophota bacterium. Its description in RNAcentral is "tRNA-His". It matches the Rfam family "tRNA". Rfam says of the family: Transfer RNA (tRNA) molecules are approximately 80 nucleotides in length. Their secondary structure includes four short double-helical elements and three loops (D, anti-codon, and T loops). The record is from RNAcentral. Lineage: Bacteria; Pseudomonadati; Candidatus Omnitrophota.